Molecule: ribosomal RNA, 497 nt
Filed under: uncultured bacterium
Lineage: Bacteria
Description: partial 16S ribosomal RNA
Rfam family: Bacterial small subunit ribosomal RNA
Source: RNAcentral
GAUGAACGCUGGCGGCGUGCCUAAUACAUGCAAGUCGAGCGAACAGAUGAGGAGCUUGCUCCUCUGACGUUAGCGGCGGACGGGUGAGUAACACGUGGAUAACCUACCUAUAAGACUGGGAUAACUUCGGGAAACCGGAGCUAAUACCGGAUAAUAUAUUGAACCGCAUGGUUCAAUAGUGAAAGACGGUUUUGCUGUCACUUAUAGAUGGAUCCGCGCCGCAUUAGCUAGUUGGUAAGGUAACGGCUUACCAAGGCAACGAUGCGUAGCCGACCUGAGAGGGUGAUCGGCCACACUGGAACUGAGACACGGUCAAGACUCCUACGGGAGGCAGCAGUAGGGAAUCUUCCGCAAUGGGCGAAAGCCUGACGGAGCAACGCCGCGUGAGUGAUGAAGGUCUUCGGAUCGUAAAACUCUGUUAUUAGGGAAGAACAAAUGUGUAAGUAACUAUGCACGUCUUGACGGUACCUAAUCAGAAAGCCACGGCUAACUACGUG